Molecule: long non-coding RNA, 481 nt
Filed under: Setaria viridis
Lineage: Eukaryota; Viridiplantae; Streptophyta; Magnoliopsida; Poales; Poaceae
Description: long non-coding RNA (SVIR_LNC000636)
Source: RNAcentral
GGAGACUGUUGGAGGUAUGCCCUAGAGGCAAUCAUAGAGAUGAUGAUAUUCCAUUUGUAUCCAUGAUUUGUAUAUUGUGUUCAUUGAAUAUCCAUUAAAGGCUACUUGAAUUGAUUUGCAAUUAUGUGAAUUGUAUGUGAAACUCUUUACUUGUAUGGUUAUUCUAAAGUUGUCCCUAGUCGGAGUUCAUGUGAGGACACACAUGAAUAUUAUACUAGCACAUGUAUUGGUUGAUGACUAUGUUUCACAAGUCAUGGACAUGGAGAUGUUGAACUAAUAAUGUGGACACAUGUGGAGACAUAUGUUAGGACUGACCCAACACGAGAAAUAGUUCUCUCUUUAAACAACAUAUACGCUUUGUCCUUAGACCUGAGAUUGUCGCAUGUAUUCUAGAUGUGGAUUGACCUACUUAGGGGCUAUCAAACGCUACGCCGUAACAGGGUAGUUAUAAAGGUAGCUUUCGGGUUUGUCAAGAAGCAUG